GACAAAAGCUGAGCGUGUAGGGUGAGCGUGAGUCGGAGCGACGCUGGGAUCGGAGGCGACAGUGAGGAGUCGGUUGAGAGGAGGCGGAGCGUUUGGAAACCCUAGGGUUUUGCUUUUUAGAUUUAAUUUUCAAAAGUGAUCAUAAAAUAUUACAACAAAGAAUUUAUACUAACUCUCUAAUGGGCCUUGAGUAUGAGCCAAUCUUAAACUACUAAAUUAAUCCAUUCUAAUUUGGAUUAGAUACUUAAUCCUUCAAUACUUCAAUAUACUUCAAUAGUUUAUUUUCGGAUCUUUUUCCCACAUGGUUUCAGAAUGAUUCAAUCGGAUUCUCCUCAUCUUCACCUACCCCCAACUCCUCAUGCAUAAUUCCAAUGGUCCAACAUGGUAUCAGAGAAUCAGAUAUGGAAGGAAGGAAGGGAUCUAUUGACAAGCAGUAGUACGUGUACAUAUAUAUAUAUAUACACGCUCCAACUUAAGAACGCACAAUUAAUGGUGGAGGGAUUUUAGAGCGAUUCAAUGCACAAUUAAGCACACUAUACAUCAAGUCAACCCAACUUCAAGAAGCAAUUCAUAACCAUCGUUAAUUAUAACGAUCCUCCCUGCUAGAAGUCGAUUCUUCACCACAGAUCGGAGACUGUCGUAUUAAUAUUAAAACAGUGUUUGGAAAGGAUUGUGAGAUCCUUGGAGAAACUCUUGUAUUUUGUAAAAGAGAAAAUCAAUUAUCAAAAAAGUAUAUAGUCAAUACAAACUAAAGUAUUUAUAUGACACUAUUACAGUAACUGAUCCUUACAAAUAACUAUUGUAUUAAGAAUCACUAAUACACCUCUAAUGGUAAUUAGUGUAAGUUUGAUAAUGAGCAUAUUUGUGUCUUAACAAGGAUGUGGUGGUCGAUAUCGAUGCUCCGUUGAUCCCAAACGCCACUGACAUUAUCAGAGAACGCCACCCGAAUGAACCGUUGGCUAAUGGAAUUUGGACACCAGAAUUCAGAAAACAUUUUAAUGUUGGAUCGUGAUCAGAGACUGUAAUGGAGGUGAUAAUCUUUUUUUGCGUAAUCUCAAAUUAGUGAGAAAUGUACUAACUCAAUAUAUAGAUACUAAGUCAAUUUUAUUAAUUAACGACAAGUAUAGUAUAUGAAUACUAUAUUUAAAUAACAAAUAAUUAUAUUAAUUAAUUAGCGACCUCAAUCAAUAGAUCAGAUAACUAGAUGAGAAUAUAGACGUAUAAAAUAACCUCUAAUUAAUGAUCAGAUGACAUGAAAAGGGAUAGCUUUUGAAAAAAAAACGUAAAAUAAAAAUCAAGUACUGAUUUAUACUGAUUCACUCAAAUUAGAGUUAAUUCAAUUUCGAUGAAACACGGAGACUACUCAUCUAAGGGUUUUGGUAAUAUUUCUUUGUAAACUUUUAUGGUUACAAAGUUUACGAACUUAAGUCUUUACAGACAUACACCUAAAAGUUAAUAGGUAACUUUAUAAUACCUCUCAAGUUUUUACAGGUAAGACCUUAGAGUUUUCUUGGUAACUAUAUAAAACAAAAUCUUAAACUUUUUGGUUCGAUCAACUCAAAAACCUCCAGUCUUUGCUCACACUUUAGUGAUCUUGAGAUAAAUCUCUCAAUCAAAGUGAAACACACACAAAAUAAUAGCGGUUGAGUGGGAAACUUAAACACAAAUCUCAUUAUUUACUUACUUUGAAGACUAAAAAGAUUAAAAGAAAAAUCGAUAGAUUUUUCCAGCUUGUAUGUGUUUGCAUGUGGUGAAAGAUUUUUUUGAAUAUUCUUCUUAUUUUAUAGACUUGACAAAUUAAUUUCCAUAAAUUUUCAAUUGAUGUUUUUUUGAUAUUGGAAGUUGAUUCUUGCAAAUUGAUUUUUUUGUUAGAAUAUAAUAUUGUACAUGAGUUGUCAAUACCCACAAUCAAUGAAUGAAUGUGAUGUCAGAAUAUAUGAUUAUAUUAUGAGUUAUCAAUAACCACAAUUAGCGUGACGACUUGAGCCUAUCGAACUGAAUACUUGAAUAUUUGGUUCGGUUCGUUUAAAUAAACGAGCAUAUUCUUGGGUUUGGAUUUGGUUCGUUUAAUAACCGAACCUAACCUAACCCGAACUUGAAUCCGAACUGAAUAGUUCGUCGAAUACUGAACUUUUUUUACAUCAUUUUAAAAAUAAACAUUAAAAAAAAAUAAACAUGUCCAUUGACAACUUUAAAAAAUAAACAAUAAAAAAACAUUAUUUAUAGUCUUUUUUUUAUUAAGUCAAUCUUUAGUCAUCUUUUUUUGUUGAUUAAAAAUCGACCUUAAUUAUGAAAUAUAUAAUAUAAAUUUAUAAUAAAAAAUUAUAUAAUAUAAGUUUCUAAUAUAAAUAUAAAAUAUAAUAAAAAUGUUUAAGGAACUAAACUGUUCGUCAAACCUCAACCAAGGUUUGAGUUCGGUUCGGGUUCGGUUCGUUUAAUAACCGAAUCGAACCGAAUCCGAAACAAACCGAAGAGUUCGUCGAAUGCCGAACUUUUGUUGUCACGUUACCCACAAUCAAUGAGAUAUACAUAAUAGCUAAUUUAGAUCUCUAAUUAUGGUCAAAUUGUAACAUAAUUAUAAUAACUUUUUGUAUAUAAAUAUAUAAAUCUUGAUGAAUCAAUCAUUAAGUCAUAUUUUACUGACGUUUUAUUUUUAUUUUUAUUUCUUUUUUUAAAGGUGAUUUAGAUUAAAAUUAAAAUAAAGAAAUUACAAAACUACAAUAAAAAGGAAAGAAAACAGUUAAUUAAACAAAUAAAAGUACAAUAAGAUGUGUAGAAUAAGUAUAGCUUGUUAAUUAUCGACUUUCAAUAGCGAGUUUUUACAACUUUUAUCAUUCUUUUUCUAUUCCCUUAUCAUCCUUUUCAACUUUUUUGACACAGAUAUCCAAGAUAUAUUAUCGAAUCCAAAUUCGACAACUAAGUCUAAUAGUCUAUAGGUGUUCUUAUUUUCUAAUUGAAUAAUAUUUUAACACUGGGAGUGAUAGGUUGAAAAUUCCAUAUAUAUAUAUAUAUAUAUAUAUACAACCUUCACAGUUCACACGGCACACAAAAUUAAUAUAGGUUCAAAAUUUGAAAAAGAAAACAAAUAUUAAUCAUAUUAUAAUUUCCCGACACAAAUUAACACAAUAAUGCUCACAGAGUCACAGGCUCACAGACAGGCAGCCAGCCUAGAAAGUUGAGAUUCGAAACAAAAUCUAAAUUAUAAUAAUAGAAUAAUUUUCAAGUGAAUCACUCUUAAGGGAGCCCAAAAAAGCUCAUGUUUAAGAUGUCAAACGAGUCAGUUCGAGUUAAGGAAUUAUCCAGGCUCCGAGCUCGGGCUCGGUUCGUUAAUAAAUUCUUCAGGCUUGGGUUUGAUAAGCUUAUCGAAAAAUAUCUAUAUUUAGUAUUUUUUUUAGAUUUAUGUUUUUAUAUAAGUUUUCUUAUAAUUUAUUAAGUAGCUUUAUCAAUUAAUAACUAUAAGUCUAUAACCCUUAUAUUUAUAUUAUAUUUAAUUAUUAAAAAUCUCUUAACGAGCCAAGUCGAGUUUGAAAAGUCCAAACUCGAGUUCAACUCGAUAAGCUUAUCGAGUUUAAGCUUUAGACUCGAGCUCGGCUCGUUGCUCGCGAAUCCGAACUUAACAAGCUGAACUUUAAUUGACACCCUACUCAUAUCAUCCUAAACUUUUAUUUAUUUAAUCUUUAAAAAAAAUAUUUCUAUCUUUUUUUUAAAUGAAAGAAAGAGACUGUUUUUUUUUCCGCUCAUAAUGGUUUUCUAUGAACUUUCUUCUAUAAUAAUAACAAUCAAACAAUAAUUCUCAUUAGCUAGCUGCGGACUUAAUUAUAUUGUUUUUUUUUUAAUAAAAUUAUCUGGUAAUAUAUAAAUUUUAAAAUAAAAAAAAGGUGUGAUCACAUGCGAUCCACCUCACAUCCUCCAAGUUGAUCCAACCACGUGAUCUUACGAUCAUUUAAGUCUUCAACAAUCUUUGGAGACUGAUUAGAUAUUUUCUAAAACGAUCUAUGCUAGUUGAACUUGGACAAUGAAAAGUAUAAAAACAUUGAAAAAGAACCCUGCCUACUUAUGUUGCGUUUAGUAAAAAGUCUUAGUUUUUUCCAUAAGCAAACAAAAUUCUGGCAGAGAAAAAAAGAACCCUAAGUGGACGUUUAAGUUUAAAGGUAGAUUCAGUGUCUACAUCCAAUAGAAAAAAAUUAUAAUGUCUUGUUAAAGUCAUUAUUGUUUUUGGCACUACUUUCUAAACAACCGCCCACCAUACAAACACACAAUCACCCAUGUGUGUUAAGAAGCAGUUAUUAUAUCGUCAUCUAUUCUAUUUUGCAGACAAGAUCGAAAAAGAAACCGAUGAUGAGUGAAUUGGUGGUACCUGAGUCGGCGAUAUGGGUGACGGUGUCGAGCUGGUUCACACCGAGAGUUCUCUUUGUCGUGCUCAACAUCGUUAUCGGAACUAUCGCCAUCAGAUCGAAACUAUCGAACACGUCUCAAUCCGACGACGGAAAUAGAAUCGAAGGUGGAGGAGAAUUCGAAUUUGGUCACGACGACCACUACUACCAACCGCGAUUGUUGUCACGCGGAUCAUCGAUCGUCGCCAGACUUAAAUCGAUCAACCUCCAUCGGCACGUCUCCUCCGCAUUCGCACCUUUCACGACCGAAACCCUGCAGCCACCACCAUCAGAAGAUGCAGUAAGAUCGAAACUAUCGAACACGUCUCAAUCCGACGACGGAAAUAGAAUCGAAGGUGGAGGAGAAUUCGAAUUUGGUCACGACGGCCACUACUACCAACCGCGAUUGCUGUCACGCGGAUCAUCGAUCGUCGCCAGACUUAAAUCGAUCAACCUCCAUCGGCACGUCUCCUCCGUAUUCGCACCUUUCACGACCGAAACUCUGCAGCAACCGCCAUCUGAAGAUGCAGUAACCACCUCUGAUCGUAAGGAAGAGAUCCAGAAAGAGCCAGAGAUGGAUCAAGUCGACUCGGAUUCAGUACUGACGAUGGAAGAAGCUUACAUGGCGGCCAAGAGAGGCAACACUAACCACAGCUUGUCUUUGCAGAACAAGGUCGUGAUGCAGGAGUUAAGGAAGAGUGUGACUAAGACUGCGACUGCAAAGGAAAAGGCAAAAUUGAAGGCGAAGGCGGCGAGAGUGGAAGAAGAUGAAGUCGACGCGAGAGCUGAUGAUUUCAUAAACAGGUUUAAAAAACAGUUACAGCUUCAGAGAAUGGAAUCUCUGGACAGGUUGAAGAAGAUGAUCAGUCGUGGAACUGAGAAAUAAAUUAGAAACAUCGAAAAUCAAAAUCAUUGGUUCAUGUCUGCUUGCCUGCUCACAUUUCGUUGUUCUUGUUUAUUAUUUCUUUUGUUUCUCCUAGGAACUAGGGUUGAUUUUACAAUUGUGUGAGGUACAAUUGUACAAAUGUGCAAUUGUUUCCAAAUUUUAUUUUCUAAGGUCUCAAAAAUUUGACAUUCGCAUCUGUCAAAUCACAUUACACAUCUGUCAAAUCACAUUAUCUCUCAAAGACUAAGUUACGCACGCCUUCAUUGAUAGAAUAGUAGUGGCUGUGAAUAAAGCUUUUUUCUCUAAUUGUGACAUUUCAUCAUCUCUGCAACCAAAAACGUAUGUCGUGUCAAUGAUUCAGAAAAGUAUAUAUAUUAUAGAAGAUUGUUUUUUAUGAUGUUUUCAAUGAUAUAAAACCAAAAAGUUUGAAAUGUAUUAUUGUUUCUAAAUCUAGAUCUAAAAAAACUAAAUCUAAAUAACCCUAAAUCAAUCUCCUCCCAAACCCAAUUCUUUUCUAUCCCUAUUCUCAUCGCCUUCCUAUCAGACUACCACCACAGACUCACUGCUCAAAUCCGUGCACUGAUUUGCUCGGUGGUGGUUAUUCCACGAUUGUGUUCCUCGUGGUUAAAAUUUCCAGAUUUUAAAUUUUUUUCUUUCAAUUUGCAGAAUUGUAGGUUAAAUUUCAUGUUCACCUGGGCUAAUGAACUGAGCCCGACUAUGAACUCGGCCAAACCAGGGGUACCAAUUAAAUAGUCUCCACUUCAACUUAUACUCCCUAAUAUGCUUAAAACACUUCAACACUAGGUUAUCACAAUUCACAAACAUAAAGAUAUCCUAGCUUAACAUAUCAUGAAGCUACACAAUAUAAUCUCCUCCCAAUUGAAGUACUAUGUGAUACAUUUUCACAUAUGGUUUUCACAUGCCAAACAUAGGUAGAUUAGCUUAACUAGUCACAAUAGCUAUUAAGGUUUCUAAGGGUCUGGAGUUCGAGUCUCGUUAUGUACAUUUUCACUACGAUUUGCCCAGUGAUAUAUUAUGUGACUCUUGUAUAUCACUCGGAGGUAGACCUUUCUAGUUUCUACAUCUUGUAGAGAGGUGUCUUCCGUUAUCAAAAAAAAAAGUUUCGCAUGCUACAAUGUUUGCAGUCACCCAAACAAAUUAAGGUAAUGAGGAUUACAAACCAAAGCAACAUGCUUUCCGUUUGUAGAGGAAGAGUCUCUGGAACAAAUGUUAUUGCAGUUGACGCACAUACUGAACUCAGUCAUUUAGACAAUUUUGAAUUCAAUGCAGCCAUUUGAUAAUUUAAGUGAUCCAGAAGAACAAAAGUCGUCGAAAUUUUCCAACGGCUAGACUCUUGGAGCACUGGAGCCUCCACUGAGCUAUUACCUAUCUUGGAAUGUUUGGUUUUACGUGUAAGGGGUGAAGCAAGUAAGAAACACACUUCGGUCACCAGAAUUAAUGAUAUCGGUAUUAUUUUUGAUGAUAGAGUAAAAAAAACAAUUAAUCACCGAUCGAGUUUAAUGCAAGGGGAGAAUACAAUACUAACAAAAUAAACAUAAAACGAAAAUAAUCUCUCAGAAUAUUUCUUGAAUAUUUAAACAGAUCAAUUACUAACCUAAUAUAUAGCCCAACUUCAAAUGCAAGAUAUAUUUGGUGAAGUUAAAAUUCUAAAUUACACUUACUUGUUAGCUUUUUGCAGACUUUUAAAAGCAGAUACAACACCCCUGCAUAUCUCUAACAAAGAACAGUCUUUCUUGCUAGCAUCGUACUUUGGAUCAUCAUGAAGAUGAAGAUAAGCCUAAAAAUUAAAUUUUCUUUAAAAAUAAACUAUAAGUAUGGCUAAUUUGGCAAAAAAAACGAAAUGCAAAGAGCUAUUUACUGCAUUUAUAACAAAAAAUCAUAUACAUUACGUGAGAGAAUUGUGAUUCGUGUUUCAAAACUACUAUUGUGGGAGUUGAUUCUGAUGAGAACAGUGAUGAACAGUCAGAACCAAAAUCAAAACAACCAGAGUAUACUUCACAAUAUGUUAGGAGAUCACUGAGGUCUAGAAAGAAGCCAGAUAGAUUUUGAUUUCCAAUUGUUAAUAACAUUCUAUUUACAAAUGAGGGUGAACCAGAAAAUUACAAGUCUUGAAUCAUGCUGAUUCAGAACGGUAGGAGUUUGGCUAUGAAAGAUGAGUUAAAAUCCCUUGCUGAAAUUGGAACUUGGAGACUAACUUCUACAUCAAGGAAAGAAAGCACUCCAUAACAAAUAGGUGUUCAGGCUAAAAGAGGAAGCUAAUGGCAGGAAAAUGUUCAAAGCAAGACUUGUUGUCAAGGGUUUUCAACAGGUACAAAAUUUAGAUUAUUCUAAAGUAUUUUCCCAUGUUGUUAAG
RNAcentral lists this long non-coding RNA (7633 nucleotides) under Zostera marina. RNAcentral's name for it is "long non-coding RNA (ZMAR_LNC001516)". The record is from RNAcentral. Lineage: Eukaryota; Viridiplantae; Streptophyta; Magnoliopsida; Alismatales; Zosteraceae.